AAUGAACGCUGGCGGCAUGCCUAACACAUGCAAGUCGAACGAAGGCUUCGGCCUUAGUGGCGCACGGGUGCGUAACGCGUGGGAAUCUGCCCUCAGGUUCGGAAUAACAGCGAGAAAUUGCUGCUAAUACCGGAUGAUAUCGCGAGAUCAAAGAUUUAUCGCCUGAGGAUGAGCCCGCGUAGGAUUAGCUAGUUGGUGUGGUAAAGGCGCACCAAGGCGACGAUCCUUAGCUGGUCUGAGAGGAUGAUCAGCCACACUGGGACUGAGACACGGCCCAGACUCCUACGGGAGGCAGCAGUGGGGAAUAUUGGACAAUGGGCGGAAAGACCUGAUCCAGCAAUGCCGCGUGAGCGAUGAAGGCCUUAGGGUUG
RNAcentral lists this ribosomal RNA (371 nucleotides) under uncultured bacterium. RNAcentral describes it as "bacterial SSU rRNA". It matches the Rfam family "Bacterial small subunit ribosomal RNA", at positions 29 to 425 of the family's 1533-position model. The record is from RNAcentral.